Molecule: ribosomal RNA, 729 nt
Filed under: Pseudarthrobacter oxydans
Lineage: Bacteria; Bacillati; Actinomycetota; Actinomycetes; Micrococcales; Micrococcaceae
Description: bacterial SSU rRNA
Rfam family: Bacterial small subunit ribosomal RNA
Source: RNAcentral
AUGCCCACUUGUGGGUGGAUUAGUGGCGAACGGGUGAGUAACACGUGAGUAACCUGCCCUUAACUCUGGGAUAAGCCUGGGAAACUGGGUCUAAUACCGGAUAUGACUCCUCAUCGCAUGGUGGGGGGUGGAAAGCUUUAUUGUGGUUUUGGAUGGACUCGCGGCCUAUCAGCUUGUUGGUGAGGUAAUGGCUCACCAAGGCGACGACGGGUAGCCGGCCUGAGAGGGUGACCGGCCACACUGGGACUGAGACACGGCCCAGACUCCUACGGGAGGCAGCAGUGGGGAAUAUUGCACAAUGGGCGAAAGCCUGAUGCAGCGACGCCGCGUGAGGGAUGACGGCCUUCGGGUUGUAAACCUCUUUCAGUAGGGAAGAAGCGAAAGUGACGGUACCUGCAGAAGAAGCGCCGGCUAACUACGUGCCAGCAGCCGCGGUAAUACGUAGGGCGCAAGCGUUAUCCGGAAUUAUUGGGCGUAAAGAGCUCGUAGGCGGUUUGUCGCGUCUGCCGUGAAAGUCCGGGGCUCAACUCCGGAUCUGCGGUGGGUACGGGCAGACUAGAGUGAUGUAGGGGAGACUGGAAUUCCUGGUGUAGCGGUGAAAUGCGCAGAUAUCAGGAGGAACACCGAUGGCGAAGGCAGGUCUCUGGGCAUUAACUGACGCUGAGGAGCGAAAGCAUGGGGAGCGAACAGGAUUAGAUACCCUGGUAGUCCAUGCCGUAAACGUUGGGC